UACGAGGGGGGCGAGCGUUGUUCGGAAUUACUGGGCGUAAAGGGUUCGUAGGUGGCCAACUAAGUCAGACGUGAAAUCCCUCAGCUUAACUGGGGAACUGCGUCUGAUACUGGAUGGCUUGAGUGCAGGAGAGGAAUGCGGAAUUCCAGGUGUAGCGGUGAAAUGCGUAGAUAUCUGGAGGAACACCGGUGGCGAAGGCGGCAUGCUGGACUGUAACUGACACUGAGGAACGAAAGCCAGGGGAGCAAACGGG
This 253-nucleotide ribosomal RNA is filed under the name uncultured bacterium. RNAcentral's name for it is "partial 16S ribosomal RNA". It matches the Rfam family "Bacterial small subunit ribosomal RNA", at positions 524 to 776 of the family's 1533-position model. The record is from RNAcentral.